This 1518-nucleotide long non-coding RNA is filed under the name Vulpes vulpes (red fox). RNAcentral describes it as "lncRNA (ENSVVUG00000004964.1)". Lineage: Eukaryota; Metazoa; Chordata; Mammalia; Carnivora; Canidae. The record is from RNAcentral.
CCAGCGCCGGCCGCGGCGGUGGCGGCAGCUGGGCCUCCGCCGAGCGGAGCUGCUGAGCAUGCGCACGCGCCCGCAGCGCCCGCUCCCGCCCCCCUCCGCUCUCCCCGCGCGCCCCCUCCGCGGGAGAGGAGCUGGGGCUCCAAUGACCCUCUGCGAAAAGCCCAGAGCCCGGGGUAAAUUUCUCCCACCCCAACCUCCGCUCCUCCUGCAGCUGAGAGCGUAAAAAAAUGUCGACUGAAGAGCCGCAGGAAGCCUUUAUUUUAAACGCGGUCAUUAAAGCGGGGGUUUGUGUUCUCACCCUUUAAUGAGGUGCACGCUCCCGGCUGCGGGCUGCGAUAUCGCUCUACUGCUGGGCUUUGUUUUGCAUUGAGUUGGAUUUGAUUUUGGGGGGUGGGGGGGGGGUGGAAAGCGGUUAUGUCUGUGCUUAAAGGAUGACAGACCUACGUACUAGAAAAGGAAAGGAGGUAAACCCGAGGGGAGACGGGGAGACGGGGAGAGGAUUAUUUCCUGAAUCUGUUAUGUUGGUCGGAUUAAAGCGUGGCCACGGCAGGUAGCUGCUGGCAGGGGAGCGGUUCCAAGGCUGCGCGUCCGCCCGGGCCCGGGACACCCCGCCUCUGGGUUCAGUCCGCCAGCUAGGGUGGGUGGGGAUGGAGGCGGGAGCAAGGGUGGAAGUAAACACCGCACUGCCCCUCUGCUUCUGGACCUGCAAUCCGCCUCGUAAACGCUGAUGGUCCGCUAAGUAAGCCCCAGCCGCUGCUCCACUCUUGCGAGGGGGAAGACGGGGCGGGAUGUAGGGUUUGCUCGGACUUUUCCGCUUCUUUGCUGGCACAGCCUCGCUGUGGAGGUGUAGAGACCAACGUCUGGCUCAAGUUUGCAAAGUUUAUUUGUGUUUCCCACAUAGAGUUGUUCAUUUCUGGAAAAAUUAACACAUUCAUAAAAGUUGUGAGCUGUAAAGACUUGAAUGACCAGAAUGUUAAGUAUUAUUUGAGGGACAUUCUACUAGAAAAACACCAAGUGAGUCAUCAUCAGAAGGCCAAGAUUCUAAGACGAAGCUCUGCCAUUAUUUAACUACAUAAUCUUGGGUAAAUCAGUAGACUGGAGUUCCCUUCACAUCAAUUAUCUCAUCUCUAAGAUAAGUAUCAUAAUCACUUUCCUGCUUACUUUGGAGUUGUAAUAAUCAAAUGCUCACUUUGAAAAUGUUAAGGGUUUAUAUACAAGACAUUAUUAAUAUUCUACAGUAGGAUAUUGGCUAGGAUUGACUGGAAAUAUUUCUGAGUCCGAAGUAGCCACUAGUUUUUGUCUACAUAAGAAAAUGCUUCCCAUUCCCAGAAAGAUACAAAUAUCUACAUUUGGAACCUAAAAUAGACAUGAAAUUAUUUGUUUACAAUAUGGUAACGUAUAUCUAUAUAUAUGUACUUAGGAAUUAUUUUUAGCAAAUGAAAAAGAAUUGUAACUAAAUGCAAAAGAAUAGUAAAUCAAGAUAUUUACCAAAAUAAAAAAGAAAGAUUAUAUGCUACA